RNAcentral lists this ribosomal RNA (253 nucleotides) under uncultured bacterium. RNAcentral describes it as "partial 16S ribosomal RNA". It matches the Rfam family "Bacterial small subunit ribosomal RNA", at positions 524 to 776 of the family's 1533-position model. The record is from RNAcentral.
UAUGAGGGGGGCGAGCGUUGUUCGGAAUUAUUGGGCGUAAAGGGUGCGUAGGCGGUUUGGUAAGUCUUAUGUGAAAUCUAUGGGCUCAACUCAUAGUCUGCAUGAGAAACUGCCGGGCUUGAGUAUGGGAGAGGUGAGUGGAAUUCCUGGUGUAGCGGUGAAAUGCGUAGAUAUCAGGAGGAACACCUGUGGCGAAAGCGGCUCACUGGACCAUAACUGACGCUGAUGCACGAAAGCUAGGGGAGCAAACAGG